UCCUAGCGCUUCCUCUUAAACAAACUUAAAUUACCCCAAAGGCCGGCCAGAUUAGCGUACACAGAAAAAUCAACACCCUAUGAUCUGUCAUCCAAUUUUUCCUCCACGGUCGGCCAUCCUAUUCAAGGCCCCUGAUGCAAUGUUCUGCCAACAAUCCAUGUGCACGUCCUACCUAGCGAUUGAACGGGAUCAAAAUCUCCCUAGCGAAACACCGGUUGCCGCUGCACUUACAUACUCCGCCCACGACGCUGUCCCACCAGCGGCGGUGACGCUAGCGAUCGUACCGAGACGUCGUGGGAGAUGGAGCUCCAGGCCAUCAAGGACUCCUACACUGGCGUGUCCAAACCGCCUCCAUGACGGAGCCAAACCGCCGUACCCAUUCGGACUCAAGAACAUGGUGCGCCUCGCCGGUAUGGAUCAUCUCGCCUCCCACUUGCCAAGGUAAUACAAGUAGUUGUACGGGGUUCAUAAAGGAAUCGAGCUUCUCAUCUUUGACGAUUAACGGAUGAGGCACAGGGUACACAUGACGGAUCUACGAACUACAGCUGACAACACAUGGACGGCCAAAGGCUGUUGCAUCCGCCGACCAACCACUACCCUUAAUCAAGCACAAGAUUCUUGUGGCAGUUAAUGGGGUGCGGACUAGAGGUGGAUCAUGUGUUAACCAAAAGCUGGUCGGGGUCGUCGCAAUUGCAAACUGUGGGUGGACGGAUUUUCUAUUUGCCGCAUGCUCUCUGUCUCCCUCAAUACGGACAGCAAGGAGAAAGCUGGGCAUGGAGAACAACAAGUCUUCUGCAAGGUGAAAAUUGAGAAGAAAACGUUUGGCCUGGACGAAGGGGUUCAUCGACCAGAAACCAUAUGUUUGAUUUUGCUCAAUGUGUACUUAUCAACAAUAUGCUAUCACUUUGAUUGAUGUCUUGGUACAUCUUUUAUUGUUCAGUAGGCUUUUAACGGUUAAGUAAAUAAUGUAAACGAUUUCUACCUGAACUUUUAUGAUUCCGUAGCGUAGCACGGGCUUCUUACUAGUAU
Molecule: long non-coding RNA, 1029 nt
Organism: Triticum aestivum (bread wheat)
Lineage: Eukaryota; Viridiplantae; Streptophyta; Magnoliopsida; Poales; Poaceae
Exons: 3
Source: RefSeq, a predicted model, not a curated record